CCCGUGUUUACUGUACCUUAGUUGCUUCGGCGGGCCCGCCAUUCAUGGCCGCCGGGGGCUCUCAGCCCCGGGCCCGCGCCCGCCGGAGACACCACGAACUCUGUCUGAUCUAGUGAAGUCUGAGUUGAUUGUAUCGCAAUCAGUUAAAACUUUCAACAAUGGAUCUCUUGGUUCCGGCAUCGAUGAAGAACGCAGCGAAAUGCGAUAACUAGUGUGAAUUGCAGAAUUCCGUGAAUCAUCGAGUCUUUGAACGCACAUUGCGCCCCCUGGUAUUCCGGGGGGCAUGCCUGUCCGAGCGUCAUUGCUGCCCAUCAAGCACGGCUUGUGUGUUGGGUCGUCGUCCCCUCUCCGGGGGGGACGGGCCCCAAAGGCAGCGGCGGCACCGCGUCCGAUCCUCGAGCGUAUGGGGCUUUGUCACCCGCUCUGUAGGCCCGGCCGGCGCUUGCCGAACGCAAAUCAAUCUUUUUCCAGGUUGACCUCGGAUCAGGUAGGGAUACCCGCUGAACUUAAGCAUAUCAAUAAGCCGGAGGAAAA
This 534-nucleotide ribosomal RNA is filed under the name Aspergillus flavus. RNAcentral's name for it is "eukaryotic LSU rRNA". The stretch from base 148 to 301 matches the Rfam family "5.8S ribosomal RNA". Lineage: Eukaryota; Fungi; Ascomycota; Eurotiomycetes; Eurotiales; Aspergillaceae. The record is from RNAcentral.